RNAcentral lists this ribosomal RNA (466 nucleotides) under uncultured bacterium. RNAcentral's name for it is "bacterial SSU rRNA". It matches the Rfam family "Bacterial small subunit ribosomal RNA", at positions 330 to 794 of the family's 1533-position model. The record is from RNAcentral.
GCCAGACUCCUACGGGAGGCAGCAGUGAGGAAUAUUGGUCAAUGGCCGGAAGGCUGAACCAGCCAAGCCGCGUGAAGGACGAAGGUGCCAAGCAUUGUAAACUUCUUUUGUCAAGGGACAAAAUCAGGCUCGAGAGCCUGACCGAGGGUACUUGAAGAAAAAGCAUCGGCUAACUCCGUGCCAGCAGCCGCGGUAAUACGGAGGAUGCGAGCGUUAUCCGGAUUUAUUGGGUUUAAAGGGUGCGUAGGCGGGCUGUGAAAGCGGGGGUAAAAGCCCGGGGCCCACCCCCGGGGAGCCGUUGAAACUGGCUGUCUUGAGAUGUCGAGAGGUAUGCGGAAUGCGCAGUGUAGCGGUGAAAUGCUUAGAUAUUGCGCAGAACUCCGAUUGCGAAGGCAGCAUACCGGCGCCCGACUGACGCCGAGGCACGAAAGCGUGGGUAUCGAACAGGAUUAGAUACCCGUGUACA